GACGAACGCUGGCGGCGUGCUUAACACAUGCAAGUCGAACGGAAAGGCCCUGCUUUUGUGGGGUGCUCGAGUGGCGAACGGGUGAGUAACACGUGAGUAACCUGCCCUUGACUUUGGGAUAACUUCAGGAAACUGGGGCUAAUACCGGAUAGGAGCUCCUGCUGCAUGGUGGGGGUUGGAAAGUUUCGGCGGUUGGGGAUGGACUCGCGGCUUAUCAGCUUGUUGGUGGGGUAGUGGCUUACCAAGGCUUUGACGGAUAGCCGGCCUGAGAGGGUGACCGGCCACAAUGGGACUGAGAGACGGCCCAGACGCCUACGUGAGGCAGCAGGGGGGAAUAUGGCACAAUGGGCGGAAGCCGGAUGCAGCAACGCCGCGUGCGGGAUGACGGCCUGCGGGUUGUAAACCGCUUUCGCCUGUGACGAAGCGUGAGUGACGGUAAUGGGUAAAGAAGCACCGGCUAACUACGUG
Molecule: ribosomal RNA, 468 nt
Filed under: uncultured bacterium
Lineage: Bacteria
Description: partial 16S ribosomal RNA
Rfam family: Bacterial small subunit ribosomal RNA
Source: RNAcentral